CGCGACGCAGGAGCUGCUGCUGCAGUUGCAGAAGGAUAACCGAGAUGGUCGCCAGCGGAAGCAGGAGCUAGAGAAGCUGAUGCGCGGGCUCGAGGCCGAGAGCGAGAGCCUCAACCAGCGCCUGCAGGACCUGAGCGAGCGGGAGCGGAGCCUGCUGCGGAGGCGAAGCCAGGCAGCGCAGCCUCUGCAAGGGGAGGCGCGCGAGGCGGCGCGGGAGCGCGCGGAGCGGGUGCGCAGAAGACUGGAGGAGGCGGAGCGCCACAAGGAGUACUUGGAGCAGCACAGCAGGCAGCUGCAGGAGCAGUGGGAGGAGCUGUCGAGUCAGAAGCCCGGUAAACCCCGCCCUUACAAGCCCCGCCCCUAGCUCUUCUACUACGGAGGGGAACUGCAGAGCCAGAAGAGCACGGAGCAGCAACUCGCAGCCCAAUUGGUGACGCUGCAGAAUGAACUGGAGCUGGCGGAGACCAAAUGCGCCUUGCAGGAGGAGAAGCUGCAGCAGGACGCGCUGCAGACAGCGGAGGCCUGGGCCAUAUUCCAGGAGCAGACCGUAGUCCUGCAGGAGGUGCAGGUGAAGGUGAUGGAGGCUGCGGAGGAGCUGGACGCCUGGCAGAGUGGCCGGGAACUGUGUGACGGGCAGCUUCGCGGAGUGCAGUACAGCACCGAAUCGCUCAUGGAGGAGAUGGCCAGGGCGGACCGAGAGACGCGGCUGUUCGGCGGCCCUCGCGCGCUGGCCAUCAGGUGCUGCUGACGCUGCCGCUCCUCUUCCUGGGGCUGUCGCUGCUCUGGACGGUGCUGUUGGACCCCGGCGCCGUCUCCGCGUGGCUCUGGAGCCUCACCUCGGAGACGACGCUGCGCCGCCUGCGCUACACGCUGUCCCCGCUGCUGGAGCUGCGCGCUAACGGGCUUCUGCCAACCUAAGUGCAGCGCCCCGCGCCUGGCUCCAGGUGGACUCCAGGGCACCUGGCUUUAUUUCUGGUGCACUCCUCUCCUGAGAGUGUAGACCAAGGUUGCCUAAUAAACUC
Molecule: long non-coding RNA, 1022 nt
Filed under: Homo sapiens (human)
Lineage: Eukaryota; Metazoa; Chordata; Mammalia; Primates; Hominidae
Description: long non-coding RNA NONHSAT083678.2
Source: RNAcentral